GUUCCCAGGCUAGGGGUCCAAUCAGAGCCGUAGCCGCAGGCCUACACCAACAGCCACAGCAAUGCAGUAUCCGAGCCACGUCUGCAACCUACACCACAGCUCAUGGCAACGCCAGAUCCUUAACCCACUGAGCAAGGCCAGAGAUCGAACCCGCAACCUCAUGGCUACUAGUUGGAUUCGUUAACCACUGAGACUCAACGGGAACUCCUGGUAUUUCUAUAUUUAGUUUUCUGAGGAAUCUCCACACUGUUUUCCAUAGUGGUUAGACCAAUUUUCUCAUUCCUACCAACAGUGUAGGAGGGUUCCCUUCUCUCCACACCUUCUCCUACAUUUGCUAUUUGUAGAUUUAUUAAUGAUGACCAUUCUGACCAUUGUAAGGUGGCAUCUCAUUUUAGUUUUGGUUUACAUUUCUCUAAUAAUUAGUGAUUUAAACUCUGUUUUGGGGGACUUCCUAUGGUGGUUCAGCAAGAUAAAAAAACAACUAGUAUCCAUGAGGAUGUGGGUUCAAUUCCCUGGCCUCACUUAGUGGGUUAAAGAUUUGGUGUUGCUGUGGCUAUGGUGUAGGUUGGCAGCUGCAGCUCUGAUUUGACUCCUAGCCAGGGAACUUCUGUAUGUCACAGGUAUGGGCCUUAAAAGCAAAAAACCCCAAAAAACAUAAACAAAAACCACCUCUUUUUUUGAUCUAGUACUUUAACAGCUUAAAUAAGAUUAAACUCUUAUUUCAGUAGUGAACCAACAACAGCACCUAAGAGUCAAAAACAAUGGAUAUCUAUUCUCAUACUUCCCUACAAGGAGAAAAGUAUAUCUACAGUUUAAUGAUGCCAGAAAAAGGAAAUUGUGACUCUGACCUGUCUCCUGGGGCAUAAAAAAUGUGGUAUUAAGUAACGCAUGAACACAUGGUAUUCUUUUGUCCUUCCAUCCAUAAAAGAGAGGAAAAGCAUUCCCUAUUCACCAUGCAAAGAUCCUGCCUAUUUUUCUAGCCUAAAUCCCUGUUACUCCUCCACAAAAAACCAUGAUUGUGGCCAGGACACUUUACUAUUACUCCUUCUGAGCACAUCAAGCACUUGUCUCUUCAACUCUUCACUCAUUUUGUCCCCCCUUCGUAGACACUUUAUUUCCCUUUGGACUGUCAUAUCCAUUCUUUUAAUCCCCUAUUUUAUCAUUAUACAGCAUUCUAAUAUUAUUUCAGUAUUACUUCUAAGAUCAUUUUCCUCUAAAUCCUAUAGAUCUUAUUUUUAUACCUCACUUAUGGUACUUCCUAUAUACUGUCUUUCUAACUAGUGUCUAUAUUAGAAGGGGUCAAUGAAACCUAGCACUAGGAGGGACCAUAGGGGACAUAUGGUCCAACUGUCCAACCCAUGCAGGAAGCCAUUCUCUGCACUACCAGCAAAUGCUUACUUUAGUUUGCUUGGCUCCCAACCUUCCUUCAGCAUCCAAAGAUGGGAAACACACAUUUUCUUUAUUAAAUACACACACAGAACAAUAGAACCCAGUGCAAAGUAGCCUCAGUAAAUGCCUGUUGAAUGAAUAAAAAUUCUUUAUUUUAAAGUUGAAUAGCUCUAAUUUUGAACUAGUGCUUCCUCAUACUUAGCUCAAAUGUAGCUCUGUCAUUUUGACUAGUGAUAAUUAUUCUGGGCCUUGGCUUGCUUCUAUACAUAGCAGAUGUCAUAUACUUCAAUAUCAAUUAUAUAAUGAGAUUUAUCUUGACCACAUUGACUAUUGAUCCCCUUUAAUCAUCUAAGAUAAUUUCCAGACCCUCUCUUGGGAAACUUACCACUUAGAUUAUAGUUGAGAAGAGAGUUCAACAUUCCUCUGAGCACCUGGAGUAUGGAAUCUCUCUCUACUUGGGGAACUGUAUUAAUGCCCAGCAGAGUAUCACAAUGCAGAUAGCAAAGAUUUACUCAAAAUAGAUUGAAAAUCUAUGUGAUUGGCAUAGCAUGGAUGCCCCAUUACCAUACCACCUCUAGAAGAUACAUACAUUCAUUCCUAACAAUAUUGUAGUCUAUGCGUACUUUUCAAGAUCAUUCUCUGGCAUUCAAAAGACCACCUUGAUUUUCCUUAAAGUCCAUCUGCCAACUUUUCACAAGAAAACUGAAGAUAAAGGCUGUUGAACCAUGAAAUGAGGAUGGAGAACAGCAUGUCUACACAUGUACAUUUGGAAGAGAGAAGUUCAAACUCCAGAAACAGCAGAUGGACCAAGCUCCACAAUGAACAGAACAGGUUGAGAGUAGAGACAUCUUUGUUAUUUUUUUUUUUUAUUCCUUUAACUUUCAAUCCUUCAGGAAAUCCAAUCUCUAAUCAACACAAAAUAGUACAAUUUAACAGCCACGUUAUUGCUUUCUCACAGUAGACCUAGUUUUCACAGGCCUACAUUCAAUAUUAUUAGGUGCAUUUGACUUCCGUAAUCUUCAGAAAGUGUGCUGCUGCUUUUCUAUGUCAAAUAGUUAACAAUCUUUUAAGUAUAAAUAUAUUUUUUCAAUAUUUUCAAACUCUAAUCAUUUCAGGGGCUAGAGUUCCAGUUUUAUUUAUUAGUUUCAACCACAUACUUGUGUUAGAACAGAGAAAGGAGAACACUUGGUGGGAAAAGGUUGUCAUAAUUUUUUAUGUGCUACAAAGAUAAACUAUAAAAUACAUAUAUGUUUUGGCCAAAAUAUUCUACUCAUCUAUUUUUCAUAGAAAGAGGGUCCUUACAAGGAGGUAGGACAAUGGUUUCUAAGCUCAUGCCCAAGUUAUCAAAGAGGAAACUGCAGCAUUGUGACCCUUGAAAAGAUUAUAAUAAUUGAAAAAUUACAUAAUCACUUUAUUUAUUAUUAUUGUAAUUGACAUUAAAGUAUAUAAAGCAAUAAACUUUAAUUACUUAAUUUCUGAUAACAUAUGGCUUACCACUACUUUCCAAACCUAUUUUCAUUUCUUUUGACCUAAAGUAAUUUAAGGGGAAAUUUUUAAAAAAAGGUUGUACUUUGAUCGCACAUUGUGCUGUGUACUCUGAAAUGAAUUGUGCCUUUAAAUAUGUAUAUUAUGUGUAAACAACAAUGCAGGUUUAUCAUGCAUGGUGAUCAAUGAAGUCCUUUGCAACUGAAUCAAUAAUUUUUUAAUUUUAUCACACUGCCACCAGAAUUAUAAAAAGUAUAUAAAAAUCCGUCAUUGAAAUGAGAGAAAUCUCUUCCACCUUCAAUAAGUAAAACCAAAAGCAAUAAGUGCCUAGAGACUAGAUCAUCUGUCAGUUACAACACAUCAUUCCAGUUUCUCAAAUUAUGAAUAUGUAGUUUUCUGAGUAGCAAAUUUCAUGGCUGAGGGAGUACAAAUUAGUUUGCCAGUUCACAAUGAGGUAAGUGGAAUUUGGGAAGGUUUCAGUCACCUGGGGAGUGGAUGGAGCAUAUGGCUCAAUGUUAUUCUUAAGGUUUCAAUAAGAAACUAUGCUAUGGAGCUGCAGUGUUAACAAAGGUGUGAGUCUUUAAAGCCUACUACCUAGGCAUGGGCAUUCUUAUGAGGUCUGUCAGCAUGCUGGGAGUAGUAAGCAUUACAUAGAAUCUCAGUUUCUAUUUCCAGUAUCAUUACCCCACUUACACACCCUUUAGGAGGACACCCAACAUCCUCAGGCCAAUUUUCAUACAUACUUUGUAAACCUGUAGAAUAUCUCUAUGUAAAGUUAUAAGAGUUGCAUGGCUCUUUUACUGUGUGCCAAAAAAAGAUUUCAGGCUCAAGUAAGACAUAUUUGUUUUACUUGUCUAGGUGUAUCCAUCAACAGCAUUUAUUGAGCUCCCACCGUGUGUAAAGAUUCUUACUUGAAGAAAGUUGAUCCAGAAAGGAAGAAGGUAAGUGCCUCUGCCUUCCAACUGCUGAGGAAGGAAAAACAAUAAAUGAAUAUGCAGUGGAGGCUUAUUUUUAACCCAGCAUUCUCAGAAAUAACAUUCAGAAAACAGAAGCUCUUUUUUUAUUUAAUUUUUUUUUAAACAGAUGCUCAUUUUAGCCAUGUUAGUUGCAGAGAUGUGACACCAGAUUGCUCUUUACGAAAAGAUUUGCUGCCUACAGGAAAGGAGUAUGAUUUGCCUCAGCCUUCCAGUUUAUUCUCAGGACAGCUCCUGGCCAAUCAUUAAGCAAGCCAGUGCAUCAGAGCCAAGCAUGUCCUCUCAGCAAAGGGCAUCUUUGCUCUGGGGGUGGAAACCCUGAUGGCAGAGGUGCACCAUGAUAUGACAGCUUCCUUAUACAAUCCUACUUCUGCUCUUUUUCUUUCACAGACAUUAUUCACCAUUAAAUGUUUUGCAUGCCUAAUUCCAUAUCUAAGAUUCUUUGUGGAGAACCCAACUUACUUGCAACAGAGAGGCCUAUGAAAUAUCUCAAUAAAGCCAUUAAAUAAUUUAUUUUAAUAGACUUUCCUAUUUUCUGAAACAUACCAUACUCAUAACAGUGACACUAGGAGGCUAUAGGAGGACCCGUGGGCAUUCUUUUUGACUGUUGUCACUUCCCAGUGCAUGAGUAUAGAGCAGCCUAGCUCUUCUAUUUGGAAGAUCUGAAGUGAAAAUCAAACUACAAAAUUUGUAAAAUUAUUAAACUAAAUUUGUAUACAAUUCUACGACUCUAAUCUCUUGCUUUUGGAUGAAGGGAAAGCCAAGGCUCUCUGAGUGUUCUCUCAUUGUUUAGAAGCCUCCUUUUCUGUUACUGUUGUGAUUAGAAUAACAGUGUCCAGAAUUCAUUUUGUAUGUAGAUGUGUGUAUAUAUAAGGAUAUAUCUGCAGCAGGAUCUUAUGUGAGACUUUCUUUUUUGGUGCAGAAUUGUUGAAGGUGUUAAGUAUUCCAUGUUUAGAAGAAAAUGAGUAGUCUGUGAGGAUGAGACAUGAAUUUACUAGAAGGAGACAAAACUGGCCCUGCUACCACUAGCCAUCAGUUUAUCUCCUCUGUAGAAUCUGCAAAGGGACAAAGUUAUCAUCAAAUCCUCUGCCAUUGAGGUAUCAAUGUUCAUGAUGAGAAGCUAUUGUCUUUCCUUAAAGCCAAGAGUAGGAUGUGGCGGUAUUACUGAGAGACUAUAUGAGGUACCUGAGAGAAAGGGAUUCAGGCAUUUCAUUCCCUGGUUAGAUGUCUGUUUGGCAGCUAACUAGCAUAUCUAUCUCAGAGUCUGUCCAAGUAAUAGGAAAAGAGUACUGAAGAGAGAUAGCACAGCUAAGAUAGGACAUACCAGUGGGUCAGCCUAUAAUCCACCAUUUGGCAUUGCAAGGAUAUCUGAGUUUCUGGUGGACCAGGCGAAUGCCAUAGAAGGAAGCUAGUAUGUAGCUAUUUGUUGCAUUCAAUAUAAGAGAUC
This 5295-nucleotide long non-coding RNA is filed under the name Sus scrofa (pig). RNAcentral describes it as "lncRNA (ENSSSCG00060041006.1)". Lineage: Eukaryota; Metazoa; Chordata; Mammalia; Artiodactyla; Suidae. The record is from RNAcentral.